GAUGAAGAACGCAGCGAAAUGCGAUAAGUAAUGUGAAUUGCAGAAUUCAGCGAAUCAUCGAAUCUUUGAACGCACAUUGCGCCCCCCGGCAUUCCGGGGGGCAUGCCUGUCCGAGCGUCAUUGCACCCCUCGAGCCCGCGCGGGCUCGGUGUUGGGCCGCCGUCCCCCCCGGGGGAUGGGCCCGAAAGGCAGUGGCGGCCCCGGGGCGACUUCCCGCGCGAUCGCAUCGCCUCGCGGCCGAAGCGUCCGCCCCCGCGGGCCCGCCUGUUCCGCAGCAGCGACGUUGACCGGUUUGACCUCGGAUCAGGCAGGGAUACCCGCUGAACUUAAGCAUAUCAAUAAGCGGAGGA
Molecule: unclassified non-coding RNA, 350 nt
Filed under: soil metagenome
Description: partial contains 5.8S ribosomal RNA, internal transcribed spacer 2, and large subunit ribosomal RNA
Rfam family: 5.8S ribosomal RNA (bases 1-120)
Source: RNAcentral